GAAACCCGGUGAUCUAGCCAUGGGCAGGUUGAAGGUUGGGUAACACUAACUGGAGGACCGAACCGACUAAUGUUGAAAAAUUAGCGGAUGACUUGUGGCUGGGGGUGAAAGGCCAAUCAAACCGGGAGAUAGCUGGUUCUCCCCGAAAGCUAUUUAGGUAGCGCCUCGUGAAUUCAUCUCCGGGGGUAGAGCACUGUUUCGGCAAGGGGGUCAUCCCGACUUACCAACCCGAUGCAAACUGCGAAUACCGGAGAAUGUUAUCACGGGAGACACACGGCGGGUGCUAACGUCCGUCGUGAAGAGGGAAACAACCCAGACCGCCAGCUAAGGUCCCAAAGUCAUGGUUAAGUGGGAAACGAUGUGGGAAGGCCCAGACAGCCAGGAUGUUGGCUUAGAAGCAGCCAUCAUUUAAAGAAAGCGUAAUAGCUCACUGGUCGAGUCGGCCUGCGCGGAAGAUGUAACGGGGCUAAACCAUGCACCGAAGCUGCGGCAGCGACACUAUGUGUUGUUGGGUAGGGGAGCGUUCUGUAAGCCUGUGAAGGUGUACUGUGAGGUAUGCUGGAGGUAUCAGAAGUGCGAAUGCUGACAUAAGUAACGAUAAAGCGGGUGAAAAGCCCGCUCGCCGGAAGACCAAGGGUUCCUGUCCAACGUUAAUCGGGGCAGGGUGAGUCGACCCCUAAGGCGAGGCCGAAAGGCGUAGUCGAUGGGAAACAGGUUAAUAUUCCUGUACUUGGUGUUACUGCGAAGGGGGGACGGAGAAGGCUAUGUUGGCCGGGCGACGGUUGUCCCGGUUUAAGCGUGUAGGCUGGUUUUCCAGGCAAAUCCGGAAAAUCAAGGCUGAGGCGUGAUGACGAGGCACUACGGUGCUGAAGCAACAAAUGCCCUGCUUCCAGGAAAAGCCUCUAAGCAUCAGGUAACAUCAAAUCGUACCCCAAACCGACACAGGUGGUCAGGUAGAGAAUACCAAGGCGCUUGAGAGAACUCGGGUGAAGGAACUAGGCAAAAUGGUGCCGUAACUUCGGGAGAAGGCACGCUGAUAUGUAGGUGAAGCGACUUGCUCGUGGAGCUGAAAUCAGUCGAAGAUACCAGCUGGCUGCAACUGUUUAUUAAAAACACAGCACUGUGCAAACACGAAAGUGGACGUAUACGGUGUGACGCCUGCCCGGUGCCGGAAGGUUAAUUGAUGGGGUUAGCGGUAACGCGAAGCUCUUGAUCGAAGCCCCGGUAAACGGCGGCCGUAACUAUAACGGUCCUAAGGUAGCGAAAUUCCUUGUCGGGUAAGUUCCGACCUGCACGAAUGGCGUAAUGAUGGCCAGGCUGUCUCCACCCGAGACUCAGUGAAAUUGAACUCGCUGUGAAGAUGCAGUGUACCCGCGGCAAGACGGAAAGACCCCGUGAACCUUUACUAUAGCUUGACACUGAACAUUGAGCCUUGAUGUGUAGGAUAGGUGGGAGGCUUUGAAGUGUGGACGCCAGUCUGCAUGGAGCCGACCUUGAAAUACCACCCUUUAAUGUUUGAUGUUCUAACGUUGGCCCGUUAUCCGGGUUGCGGACAGUGUCUGGUGGGUAGUUUGACUGGGGCGGUCUCCUCCUAAAGAGUAACGGAGGAGCACGAAGGUUGGCUAAUCCUGGUCGGACAUCAGGAGGUUAGUGCAAUGGCAUAAGCCAGCUUGACUGCGAGCGUGACGGCGCGAGCAGGUGCGAAAGCAGGUCAUAGUGAUCCGGUGGUUCUGAAUGGAAGGGCCAUCGCUCAACGGAUAAAAGGUACUCCGGGGAUAACAGGCUGAUACCGCCCAAGAGUUCAUAUCGACGGCGGUGUUUGGCACCUCGAUGUCGGCUCAUCACAUCCUGGGGCUGAAGUAGGUCCCAAGGGUAUGGCUGUUCGCCAUUUAAAGUGGUACGCGAGCUGGGUUUAGAACGUCGUGAGACAGUUCGGUCCCUAUCUGCCGUGGGCGCUGGAGAACUGAGGGGGGCUGCUCCUAGUACGAGAGGACCGGAGUGGACGCAUCACUGGUGUUCGGGUUGUCAUGCCAAUGGCACUGCCCGGUAGCUAAAUGCGGAAGAGAUAAGUGCUGAAAGCAUCUAAGCACGAAACUUGCCCCGAGAUGAGUUCUCCCUGACUCCCUGAGAGUCCUGAAGGAACGUUGAAGACGACGACGUUGAUAGGCCGGGUGUGUAAGCGCAGCGAUGCGUUGAGCUAACCGGUACUAAUGAACCGUGAGGCUUAACCUUACAACGCCGAAG
Molecule: ribosomal RNA, 2244 nt
Filed under: Escherichia coli
Lineage: Bacteria; Pseudomonadati; Pseudomonadota; Gammaproteobacteria; Enterobacterales; Enterobacteriaceae
Description: partial 23S ribosomal RNA
Rfam family: Bacterial large subunit ribosomal RNA
Source: RNAcentral